GAGCGGCGGACGGGUGAGUAACGCGUGGGUGACCUGCCCCAUACCGGGGGAUAACAGCUGGAAACGGCUGCUAAUACCGCAUAAGCGCACAGAGCCGCAUGGCUCGGUGUGAAAAACUCCGGUGGUAUGGGAUGGGCCCGCGUCUGAUUAGGCAGUUGGCGGGGUAACGGCCCACCAAACCGACGAUCAGUAGCCGGCCUGAGAGGGUGAACGGCCACAUUGGGACUGAGACACGGCCCAAACUCCUACGGGAGGCAGCAGUGGGGAAUAUUGCACAAUGGGGGAAACCCUGAUGCAGCGACGCCGCGUGGAGGAAGAAGGUCUUCGGAUUGUAAACUCCUGUUGUUGGGGAAGAUAAUGACGGUACCCAACAAGGAAGUGACGGCUAACUACGUGCCAGCAGCCGCGGUAAAACGUAGGUCACAAGCGUUGUCCGGAAUUACUGGGUGUAAAGGGAGCGCAGGCGGGAAGACAAGUUGGAAGUGAAAUCUAUGGGCUCAACCCAUAAACUGCUUUCAAAACUGUUUUUCUUGAGUAGUGCAGAGGUAGGCGGAAUUCCCGGUGUAGCGGUGGAAUGCGUAGAUAUCGGGAGGAACACCAGUGGCGAAGGCGGCCUACUGGGCACCAACUGACGCUGAGGCUCGAAAGUGUGGGUAGCAAACAGAAUUAGAUACCCUGGUAGUCCACACCGUAAACGAUGAUUACUAGGUGUUGGAGGAUUGACCCCUUCAGUGCCGCAGUUAACACAAUAAGUAAUCCACCUGGGGAGUACGACCGCAAGGUUGAAACUCAAAGGAAUUGACGGGGGCCCGCACAAGCAGUGGAGUAUGUGGUUUAAUUCGACGCAACGCGAAGAACCUUACCAAGUCUUGACAUCCCUUGACAGGCAUAGAAAUAUGUUUUCUCUUCGGAGCAAGGAGACAGGUGGUGCAUGGUUGUCGUCAGCUCGUGUCGUGAGAUGUUGGGUUAAGUCCCGCAACGAGCGCAACCCUUGUGAUAUGUUACUAACAUUGAGUUGAGGACUCAUAUCAGACUGCCGGUGAUAAACCGGAGGAAGGUGGGGAUGACGUCAAAUCAUCAUGCCCCUUAUGGCCUGGGCUACACACGUACUAUAAUGGCGUCUACAAAGAGCGGCAAGCCUGUGAAGGCAAGCGAAUCUCAUAAAGGACGUCUCAGUUCGGAUUGAAGUCUGCAACCCGACUUCAUGAAGCUGGAAUCGCUAGUAAUCGCGAAUCAGCAUGUCGCGGUGAAUACGUUCUCGGGCCUUGCACACACCGCCCGUCA
RNAcentral lists this ribosomal RNA (1284 nucleotides) under uncultured bacterium. Its description in RNAcentral is "bacterial SSU rRNA". It matches the Rfam family "Bacterial small subunit ribosomal RNA", at positions 93 to 1399 of the family's 1533-position model. The record is from RNAcentral.